This 448-nucleotide ribosomal RNA is filed under the name uncultured bacterium. RNAcentral's name for it is "SSU rRNA". It matches the Rfam family "Bacterial small subunit ribosomal RNA", at positions 26 to 518 of the family's 1533-position model. The record is from RNAcentral.
AGAGCGAACGCUGGCGGCAGGCCUAACACAUGCAAGUCGAGCGCCCGUAGCAAUACGGGAGCGGCAGACGGGAUAGUAACACGUGGGAACGCGCCCUUCGGUUCGGAAUAACUCAGGGAAACUUGAGCUAAUACCGAAUACGCCCUUACGGGGAAAGAUUUAUUGCCGAAGGAACGGCCCGCGUCCGAUUAGCUAGUUGGUGAGGUAAUGGCUCACCAAGGCUACGAUCGGUAGCUGGUCUGAGAGGAUGACCAGCAUCACUGGGACUGAGACACGGCCCAGACUCCUACGGGGAGGCAGCAGUGGGGAAUAUGGACAAUGGGCGAAAGCCUGAUCCAGCCAUGCCGCGUGGAUGAUGAAGGCCUUAGGGUUGUAAAGUCCUUUUAACGGGGAAGAUAAUGACGGUACCGUAGAAUAAGCCCCGGACUAACUUCGUGCCAGCAGCCGC